RNAcentral lists this ribosomal RNA (667 nucleotides) under uncultured fungus. Its description in RNAcentral is "SSU rRNA". It matches the Rfam family "Eukaryotic small subunit ribosomal RNA", at positions 246 to 921 of the family's 1831-position model. Lineage: Eukaryota; Fungi. The record is from RNAcentral.
GUGAUUCAUGAUAACUUAACGAAUCGCAUGGCCUUGCGCGGCGAUGGUUCAUUCAAAUUUCUGCCCUAUCAACUUUCGAUGGUAGGAUAGUGGCCUACCAUGGUUUCAACGGGUAACGGGGAAUUAGGGUUCUAUUCCGGAGAGGGAGCCUGAGAAACGGCUACCACAUCCAAGGAAGGCAGCAGGCGCGCAAAUUACCCAAUCCCGACACGGGGAGGUAGUGACAAUAAAUACUGAUACAGGGUUCUUUUGGAUCUUGUAAUUGGAAUGAGUACAAUUUAAAUCCCUUAACGAGGAACAAUUGGAGGGCAAGUCUGGUGCCAGCAGCCGCGGUAAUUCCAGCUCCAAUAGCGUAUAUUAAAGUUGUUGCAGUUAAAAAGCUCGUAGUUGAACCUUGGGCCUGGCUGGCCGGUCCGCCUAACCGCGUGCACUGGUUCGGCCGGGCCUUUCCUUCUGGCCAACCUCAUGCCCUUCACUGGGUGUGCUGGGGAUCCAGGACUUUUACUUUGAAAAAAUUAGAGUGUUCAAAGCAGGCCUAUGCUCGAAUACAUUAGCAUGGAAUAAUAGAAUAGGACGGCGGUUCUAUUUUGUUGGUUUCUAGAGCCACCGUAAUGAUUAUAGGGAUAGUCGGGGGCAUCAGUAUUCAAUUGUCAGAGGUGAAAUUCUU